UCCGAACAAAAAACAAAACAAAUUAAUAUGUUUGAAAUUUUCAAAAAAGAAUUUCUUCAAUAUCAUGAAAUAUUGAUAAAUAAAGAAGGCAAAUACGAAAAUUCCAUAAUCUGGUUGCAGCAAAAAUUAAAUUAAUUUCAUAAAUUAGAAUUUAUUAUACAUCAUGUUAUCAUAUUUCUAUUCAGUUACAUACAUGUCAUUAUUACUAUAUAUACAUAUUGUGCACUAACAAGUACUAACUUAUCAAUAAAAUGCUAUAUACUAAUGUUAACGAGGCCGGGAUAAGGUACCGGUACUUCUUGUAUCUCUAACAAAUGUAAAAUUCAAAUAAAAUAUUAUAACAUUCAAAAAAAAAAAAAAAAAA
Molecule: long non-coding RNA, 364 nt
Filed under: Mytilus galloprovincialis (Mediterranean mussel)
Lineage: Eukaryota; Metazoa; Mollusca; Bivalvia; Mytilida; Mytilidae
Source: RNAcentral